This is a long non-coding RNA of Gallus gallus (chicken), 797 nucleotides long. RefSeq lists it as uncharacterized. The transcript is spliced from 5 exons. Lineage: Eukaryota; Metazoa; Chordata; Aves; Galliformes; Phasianidae. The record is from RefSeq and is a predicted model, not a curated record.
GUCACACACACAUCUCCUGGAGAGACGCUGCAGACUUCUGAGAUGGUACCCUAUGCUCCACUCUGUGGGCAGUGACUGUUGGAGCAGCCAUUUGAGAACUGAGUUUGCCACCACAUUAAAUACUCCACAUCCCUAUUUACACUGCAGUGCUUCCAGAAGCACCACCUUCUCUCUCUGAUGCUCCAAGGGCUACGUCUUGUCCUGCACUCCAGUGGCACCACUGUCACAGAGGGAAACCCCACGACUGUGGUGUUUCACAUGAGGAGGAAGAGUAAUGUCAGUGGAAAAUGCUCUCCUCAGCUUAAAAGGUUGGCUCCCUCCAGUUAUGCACCUUCUUCUGUCAGUAGGGAAGCUGUUUCAGCAGGGGAGUUGGACUUGAUGAUCCCCAGAGGUCCCUUCCAACACCUAGGAUUCUGUGAUUGCUUGUCUUCAGGAGCACUAUGGCCAGAAUGUACAAUCAGAAGAAUUUUUUUAUCUUCCUUUAUGAGGGAUAGAGAUGUUUGUGGAAAACACUCAUCUGCCUGCAAUAAUCAUGUUUCAUGUGCUUAGAAUUAGAUCAAUAACAUGGGCUCAAGUACAGCACUGACUUGAUUGGCUUACUGCUGCCUUUCUACUUAAGAGCUGCUCCUCCUGGCUGUGUUCUGCAGGCAAUCCCUCAGCACAUCUUUCACCCCCAAAAACAUCUCCAAGGAUUUCUGAAGGAAAUAUCCACCAGGUUCGGCCAAGAAGCAAAAGCACAACAGACUUUUUAAGCCCAUCUUGGGGCUAAAUAAAUAAAUGAAUUUAUAAUCUCUCCU